AGCAGCCGCGGUAAUUCCAGCUCCAAUAGCGUAUAUUAAAGUUGUUGCAGUUAAAAAGCUCGUAGUUGAAUUUCGGGAUCAAUACGUCGGUCGUGCUUCGGUACGUACUAACGUCAUUGAUUUCUCCCUUCUGACGAAUCGUGAUGUCAUUAAUUUGGUGUUACGGGGAGUUAGGACUGUUACUUUGAAAAAAUUAGAGUGUUUAAAGCAAGCAAUCGCUCGAAUACAUUAGCAUGGAAUAAUGAAAUAGGACGUUCGAACCUAUUUUGUUGGUUUCUAGGAUCGACGUAAUGAUUAAUAGGGAUAGUUGGGGGCAUUAGUAUUCAAUUGUCAGAGGUGAAAUUCUUGGAUUUAUUGAAGACUAACUACUGCGAAAGCAUUUGCCAAGGAUGUUUUCAUUAAUCAAGAACGAAAGUUAGGGGAUCGAAGACGAUCAGAUACCGUCGUAGU
RNAcentral lists this ribosomal RNA (450 nucleotides) under uncultured Glomeromycotina. RNAcentral describes it as "SSU rRNA". It matches the Rfam family "Eukaryotic small subunit ribosomal RNA", at positions 569 to 1024 of the family's 1831-position model. Lineage: Eukaryota; Fungi; Glomeromycota. The record is from RNAcentral.